GGAGACGCUGGCGGCGUGCCUAAUACAUGCAAGUCGAACGAACUCUGGUAUUGAUUGGUGCUUGCAUCAUGAUUUACAUUUGAGUGAGUGGCGAACUGGUGAGUAACACGUGGGAAACCUGCCCAGAAGCGGGGGAUAACACCUGGAAACAGAUGCUAAUACCGCAUAACAACUUGGACCGCAUGGUCCGAGCUUGAAAGAUGGCUUCGGCUAUCACUUUUGGAUGGUCCCGCGGCGUAUUAGCUAGAUGGUGGGGUAACGGCUCACCAUGGCAAUGAUACGUAGCCGACCUGAGAGGGUAAUCGGCCACAUUGGGACUGAGACACGGCCCAAACUCCUACGGGAGGCAGCAGUAGGGAAUCUUCCACAAUGGACGAAAGUCUGAUGGAGCAACGCCGCGUGAGUGAAGAAGGGUUUCGGCUCGUAAAACUCUGUUGUUAAAGAAGAACAUAUCUGAGAGUAACUGUUCAGGUAUUGACGGUAUUUAAACCAGAAAGCCACGGCUAAACUACGUGCCAGCAGCCGCGGUAAUACGUAGGUGGCAAGCGUUGUCCCGGAUUUAUUGGGCGUAAAGCGAGCGCAGGCGGUUUUUUAAGUCUGAUGUGAAAGCCUUUCGGCUCAACCGAAGAAGUGCAUCGGAAACUGGGAAACUUGAGUGCAGAAGAGGACAGUGGAACUCCAUGUGUAGCGGUGAAAUGCGUAGAUAUAUGGAAGAACACCAGUGGCGAAGGCGGCUGUCUGGUCUGUAACUGACGCUGAGGCUCGAAAGUAUGGGUAGCAAACAGGAUUAGAUACCCUGGUAGUCCAUACCGUAAACGAUGAAUGCUAAGUGUUGGAGGGUUUCCGCCCUUCAGUGCUGCAGCUAACGCAUUAAGCAUUCCGCCUGGGGAGUACGGCCGCAAGGCUGAAACUCAAAGGAAUUGACGGGGGCCCGCACAAGCGGUGGAGCAUGUGGUUUAAUUUCGAAGCUACGCGAAGAACCUUUACCAGGUCUUGACAUACUAUGCAAAUCUAAGAGAUUAGACGUUCCCUUCGGGGACAUGGAUACAGGUGGUGCAUGGUUGUCGUCAGCUCGUGUCGUGAGAUGUUGGGUUAAGUCCCGCAACGAGCGCAACCCUUAUUAUCAGUUGCCAGCAUUAAGUUGGGCACUCUGGUGAGACUGCCGGUGACAAACCGGAGGAAGGUGGGGAUGACGUCAAAUCAUCAUGCCCCUUAUGACCUGGGCUACACACGUGCUACAAUGGAUGGUACAACGAGUUGCGAACUCGCGAGAGUAAGCUAAUCUCUUAAAGCCAUUCUCAGUUCGGAUUGUAGGCUGCAACUCGCCUACAUGAAGUCGGAAUCGCUAGUAAUCGCGGAUCAGCAUGCCGCGGUGAAUACGUUCCCGGGCCUUGUACACACCGCCCGUCACACCAUGAGAGUUUGUAACACCCAAAGUCGGUGGGGUAACCUUUUAGGAACCAGCCGCCUAAGGUGGGACAGAUGAUUAGGGAAGUC
RNAcentral lists this ribosomal RNA (1497 nucleotides) under Lactiplantibacillus plantarum. RNAcentral describes it as "bacterial SSU rRNA". It matches the Rfam family "Bacterial small subunit ribosomal RNA". Lineage: Bacteria; Bacillati; Bacillota; Bacilli; Lactobacillales; Lactobacillaceae. The record is from RNAcentral.